GGGUGAAAAGCCCGCUCGCCGGAAGACCAAGGGUUCCUGUCCAACGUUAAUCGGGGCAGGGUGAGUCGACCCCUAAGGCGAGGCCGAAAGGCGUAGUCGAUGGGAAACAGGUUAAUAUUCCUGUACUUGGUGUUACUGCGAAGGGGGGACGGAGAAGGCUAUGUUAGCCGGGCGACGGUUGUCCCGGUUUAAGCAUGUAGGCUGGUUGUCCAGGCAAAUCCGGAUAAUCAAGGCUGAGGUGUGAUGACGAGGCACUACGGUGCUGAAGUAACAAAUGCCCUGCUUCCAGGAAAAGCCUCUAAGCAUCAGGUAACAUUAAAUCGUACCCCAAACCGACACAGGUGGUCAGGUAGAGAAUACCAAGGCGCUUGAGAGAACUCGGGUGAAGGAACUAGGCAAAAUGGUGCCGUAACUUCGGGAGAAGGCACGCUGGUGUGUAGGUGAAGUCCCUGCGGAUGGAGCUGAGACCAGUCGAAGAUACCAGCUGGCUGCAACUGUUUAUUAAAAACACAGCACUGUGCAAACACGAAAGUGGACGUAUACGGUGUGACGCCUGCCCGGUGCCGGAAGGUUAAUUGAUGGGGUUAUCCGUAAGGAGAAGCUCUUGAUCGAAGCCCCGGUAAACGGCGGCCGUAACUAUAACGGUCCUAAGGUAGCGAAAUUCCUUGUCGGGUAAGUUCCGACCUGCACGAAUGGCGUAAUGAUGGCCAGGCUGUCUCCACCCGAGACUCAGUGAAAUUGAACUCGCUGUGAAGAUGCAGUGUACCCGCGGCAAGACGGAAAGACCCCGUGAACCUUUACUAUAGCUUGACACUGAACAUUGAGCCUUGAUGUGUAGGAUAGGUGGGAGGCUUUGAAGCGUGGACGCCAGUCUGCGUGGAGCCAACCUUGAAAUACCACCCUUUAAUGUUUGAUGUUCUAACGUUGGCCCCUUACCGGGGUUGCGGACAGUGUCUGGUGGGUAGUUUGACUGGGGCGGUCUCCUCCCAAAGCGUAACGGAGGAGCACGAAGGUUAGCUAAUCCUGGUCGGACAUCAGGAGGUUAGUGCAAUGGCAUAAGCUAGCUUGACUGCGAGCGUGACGGCGCGAGCAGGUGCGAAAGCAGGUCAUAGUGAUCCGGUGGUUCUGAAUGGAAGGGCCAUCGCUCAACGGAUAAAAGGUACUCCGGGGAUAACAGGCUGAUACCGCCCAAGAGUUCAUAUCGACGGCGGUGUUUGGCACCUCGAUGUCGGCUCAUCACAUCCUGGGGCUGAAGUAGGUCCCAAGGGUAUGGCUGUUCGCCAUUUAAAGUGGUACGCGAGCUGGGUUUAGAACGUCGUGAGACAGUUCGGUCCCUAUCUGCCGUGGGCGCUGGAGAAUUGAGGGGGGCUGCUCCUAGUACGAGAGGACCGGAGUGGACGCAUCACUGGUGUUCGGGUUGUCAUGCCAAUGGCACUGCCCGGUAGCUAAAUGCGGAAGAGAUAAGUGCUGAAAGCAUCUAAGCACGAAACUUGCCCCGAGAUGAGUUCUCCCUGAGACUUUAAGUCUCCUGAAGGAACGUUGAAGACGACGACGUUGAUAGGCCGGGUGUGUAAGCGCAGCGAUGCGUUGAGCUAACCGGUACUAAUGAACCGUGAGGCUUAACCUU
This 1627-nucleotide ribosomal RNA is filed under the name Klebsiella pneumoniae. RNAcentral's name for it is "bacterial LSU rRNA". It matches the Rfam family "Bacterial large subunit ribosomal RNA", at positions 1319 to 2925 of the family's 2925-position model. Lineage: Bacteria; Pseudomonadati; Pseudomonadota; Gammaproteobacteria; Enterobacterales; Enterobacteriaceae. The record is from RNAcentral.